UGUUAUUAUAUAGAUAUAUAUGUAUAUAUAUAAUUUAUUUGUAAAUAACUUUGGUUGGGGUGAUCAAGGAAUAAAAUUAAUUUAAAGUAUUGUAUUAACUUCCUUAAUUUUGAGUUUAGUUGAAGAAUAAACCAAGUUUUUUGCUUAGAAGAUAAGUUA
This 159-nucleotide ribosomal RNA is filed under the name Octopus vulgaris (common octopus). RNAcentral's name for it is "partial 16S ribosomal RNA". The record is from RNAcentral. Lineage: Eukaryota; Metazoa; Mollusca; Cephalopoda; Octopoda; Octopodidae.